Molecule: long non-coding RNA, 2102 nt
Filed under: Ananas comosus (pineapple)
Lineage: Eukaryota; Viridiplantae; Streptophyta; Magnoliopsida; Poales; Bromeliaceae
Description: long non-coding RNA (ACOM_LNC004320)
Source: RNAcentral
GUGGUGGGUGGUCACAGGAUCACAUGGUGGCCGUGUGGAGACAAAGCUUAUGGGGCAGUGAGUGAAGCACUACACUAGCCAGCGUAUCCUGUAGCAGAGUAUAUUGCGAGCAUUAUUACAGGGGAAUAAAAGCUACAGGAAAAGCCUACAUCUUCUUGGGCAUUUGACAAUCUAACCUCAUCUUCCUCGCAGGUGCACACCCCAAUAUUAACGGUGAUAUUAUCAUAGCAGAAAUUUUAUUAAUUGAUUUGCUCAUAGGGUGCUUGGGUCACACAACCCUAUCGAUUUAUUUAUGAUGAAGUUUAGUGUUUUCUAUCUGUUUCUUAUGCUUAUUCUGUGAAAAUAAUGAAUUGGGGUUUCCUUUUACAAUGUUGCUUACAAUAAUGUAGAAGCGACUUGGAGUUAAUGUUGGUUGAAGAAGAUUGGGCAAUUCUCUGUGCACUGAACACUAUGACCUAUUACAUGGAUCACUGUUCCCUGUCAAAAACUUCGAGCUAACUCGCUGGUUUCUGAUUUUGAGGGGAAAGGCAAUAUUAAUGUUCCUGUCUACAAUUUGUUGUGCAUUUGCAUGUGGCUUAUCUACCUUUAAUACUCAUCUUAGGUUAAUUCUUUUUCCUUUUCUUUCUCUUUUUUGUGUUCAUCAUUUGCCAGUACUUUUUCCUCCAAAAUGGUGCUCUAUGUGUUUAUGAUUUUAGCUCUUUAUUUCUUUUACGGUAGACAUACAGAACCGUAACUGAGUACCAAAAUAUCAAAAUAUCAUGCGUAGUCAUUUUAUUAGUUUCAAUGAUGGUGAUAUUUACUGUGAAUGUAAUAAGAAUUGUAUAAAAAAUAGCAAUACGCUAAAAGUAGGGCAAAUAUUUUUUUUGCAAGUACUGUAAAUUUGUGACAGAAAGUUUGAGCCAGGUUUAUAAAGAGAAAAUGUCUCACAAAGAAAGAGAUAUAUCAGCAGAAACCUCUCACCAUGAAUUUCUUAUGUAAGAUAUCUGAUCUCUGAAGCACAUACAUACUAUCCUGCAGCUUCAUUAUUUGCUGGACUUGUGCAAAUUUAAUUAGUAGGUAGGCAUAAGAUGAAGGGCCGUAUUCAAUGUUGUGGGGCAUACGAUAUGAUGUAUCAGCCUAACUAUUUUGAGGUAAAGGGAGAAGUGAAGGAUCUGCUGCAACAAAACUACCCACAAAUACUGCAAUUUUUUUUUUCUUGGAGGAAACGAAUAUUUUUACAUUUUCUGGAUAUCUGCAGUUGCAAUUCUCAAACUGAAUCUGAAGUAUCCUAGCAUAGAGACUCUGUAUGUUGAUUUUGUGGACAAAUCAAUAAACUAAUGAGCUGCAAUUAAAGAAUUGUAACAGAGUUGCUUUGGAUCUUGAUAUUGAAAUUUGAUUGGUACUUUGCAUUGAAAACCAAGUAGAAGGACAGUGCUCGCUUUCCUUUCUUUCAAUCAGUAAAACUAUGAUCUAAUUUCUCACGCGUGUCUAACUUUUCCCUUUUCUUUCUAAUUCUAUCAAAACAUCGAAAAGGAGGCGUUCCUGGAGAUCUCCUUUAUGUUGGCAUGGUGGUCACUCAUGUUCAAAGAUUCCUGGUAGAUGAGAAUUUAUUGACAUCACACUGCCUUCAUCAUUAUGCAAUUCCAUUGAGUUGAAGCAGUUUUCAAUUGUCCUUCAUGUAAGCCAAAUUAAAUGUGCCAUGCAGGUUAUGUAGUCCUCUUUUGCAUUAUUGUACCUAUAUUUUCACGACCUAAAAGGAGUAAAUAUUUCCUGAUGAAAAUUCAAUAUGAAAAUCUUCAAGAGUCCUCAAGAAAGCGGCAUGUGAAGCUAUGAAAGAGACUGGAUCAAUCAAUCUGAGACUGGAUUAAUCAAUCUGAAACUAUGAACUCAGGUGAAUUUCUGCCUCUCGCUUUCUUUAAUACGAGCGAUCAAUCUCGAGCUUAUUUGGAGGCGAACAAGUUAGCUUAUCAACAACAAGCUGGAUUGCGAGCCUCGCAACGAUAUAGUUGCUUUUUGAGCCAAUAGUUGCGAGUUCAUUUUACAAGUACAUAUUUUUGAGGAAGUUACUUUUAUUAGUAGUUACUUUUAUACUUUUUGAGCCCUGUACACAUUUUACAAGUACA